GUGUGCGCGGUGAAGGACAUGCUGCGUUUCACAACAGCAACAGCAACACAGAACAAUGGGAUUUGGGGUUUCACUUUACACGCGGAUGUGAACACUACACGCACAAAGAAGAAAUCAUCAACGGUGAACGACACGGACACACGCGGAAGGAUAACCAUAGAUAAAGUUGGCUAGGAAACGAAGACCACUGAACCCGAAAGAAAGGAUAUCGUUUUGGAAAAUUGGCCACCUUCCUCACACACGAGACCGAUGCCGAGAAAAAAAAACCGAACAACGAUGCCAACCAACACCACGGGGACGAAGAUGGAAGAACAGCAGG
This is a long non-coding RNA of Anopheles merus, 319 nucleotides long. RefSeq lists it as uncharacterized. The transcript is spliced from 2 exons. The record is from RefSeq and is a predicted model, not a curated record. NCBI's taxonomy places the organism in Eukaryota, Metazoa, Arthropoda, Insecta, Diptera, Culicidae.